Molecule: ribosomal RNA, 235 nt
Filed under: uncultured bacterium
Lineage: Bacteria
Description: partial 16S ribosomal RNA
Rfam family: Bacterial small subunit ribosomal RNA
Source: RNAcentral
UGAGUAACCUGCCCUUAACCCCGGGAUAAGCCUGGGAAACUGGGUCUAAUACCGGAUAUGACUCCUCAUCGCAUGGUGGGGGGUGGAAAGCUUUAUUGUGGUUUUGGAUGGACUCGCGGCCUAUCAGCUUGUUGGUGAGGUAAUGGCUCACCAAGGCGACGGACGGGUAGCCGGCCUGAGAGGGUGACCGGCCACACGUGGGACUGAGACACGGCCCAGACUCCUACGGGAGCAG